Small nuclear RNA from Fukomys damarensis (Damara mole-rat), 106 nucleotides. NCBI's taxonomy places the organism in Eukaryota, Metazoa, Chordata, Mammalia, Rodentia, Bathyergidae. The record is from Ensembl.
UUAAUUUACUUGUGCUUAUAUAUGCUAAAACUGGAACUAUACAGAAAAGAUUGGCAUUGCCCCUGGACACGGAGAUACACGGAUAUGUGAAGCUUCCACAGCUUUU